Molecule: ribosomal RNA, 253 nt
Filed under: uncultured bacterium
Lineage: Bacteria
Description: partial 16S ribosomal RNA
Rfam family: Bacterial small subunit ribosomal RNA
Source: RNAcentral
UACGUAGGGUGCGAGCGUUAAUCGGAAUUACUGGGCGUAAAGCGUGCGCAGGUGGUUCGUUGUGUCCGUCGUGAAAGCCCCGGGCUUAACCUGGGAACUGCGAUGGAAACUAGCGAGCUGGAGUGUGGCAGAGGGGGGUGGAAUUCCGCGUGUAGCAGUGAAAUGCGUAGAGAUGCGGAGGAACACCGAUGGCGAAGGCAGCCCCCUGGACUAACACUGACGCUCAGGCACGAAAGCGUGGGGAGCAAACAGG